CAGCAGCCGCGGGAAUACGUAGGGUGCGAGCGUUAAUCGGAAUUACUGGGCGUAAAGCGUGCGCAGGCGGUUGUGUAAGACAGGUGUGAAACCCCCGGGCUUAACCUGGGAACUGCGCUUGUGACUGCACAGCUAGAGUAUGGCAGAGAGGGGUGGAAUUCCACGUGUAGCAGUGAAAUGCGUAGAGAUGUAGAGGAACACCGAUGGCGAAGGCAGCCCCCUGGGCCAAUACUGACGCUCAUGCACGAAAGCGUGGGGAGCAAACAGGAUUAGAUACCCCAGUAGUCCCUGUCUCUUAUAC
Molecule: ribosomal RNA, 301 nt
Filed under: uncultured bacterium
Lineage: Bacteria
Description: partial 16S ribosomal RNA
Rfam family: Bacterial small subunit ribosomal RNA
Source: RNAcentral